ACUUAUCACUUUCGCUUAGCCACUGAAAUUGCUUCCAACAGCUAGUAUCCAUCGUUUACGGCGUGGACUACCAGGGUAUCUAAUCCUGUUCGCUACCCACGCUUUCGUCCAUCAGCGUCAAUCCAUUAGUAGUAACCUGCCUUCGCAAUUGGUAUUCCAUGUAAUCUCUAAGCAUUUCACCGCUACACUACAUAUUCUAGUUACUUCCUAAUAAUUCAAGUUUAGCAGUAUCAAUGGCCGUUCCACCGUUGAGCGAUGGGCUUUCACCACUGACUUACUAAACCGCCUACGGACCCUUUAAACCCAAUGAUUCCGGAUAACGCUUGGAUCCUCCGUAUUACCGCGGCUGCUGGCACGGAGUUAGCCGAUCCUUAUUCUUACGAUACCGUCAAGCUCCUUCACGAAGGAGUGUUUCUUCUCGUACAAAAGCAGUUUACAAUCCAUAGGACCGUCAUCCUGCACGCGGCAUGGCUGGAUCAGGCUUGCGCCCAUUGUCCAAUAUUCCUCACUGCUGCCUCCCGUAGGAGUCUGGUCCGUGUCUCAGUACCAGUGUGGGGGAUCUCCCUCUCAGGACCCCUACCCAUCGUAGCCUUGGUAAGCCGUUACCUUACCAACUAGCUAAUGGGACGCAUGCUCAUCUUUUACCGUUGUGACUUUAAUAGCUGCUUCAUGCGAAGCUGCUAUGCUAUGAGGUAUUAAUCCAAAUUUCUCUGGGCUAUCCCUCUGUAAAAGGUAGAUUGCAUACGCGUUACGCACCCGUGCGCCGGUCUCUAUAUCCGAAGACAUAUACCCCUCGACUGCA
This 802-nucleotide ribosomal RNA is filed under the name Flavobacterium sp. B214. RNAcentral describes it as "partial 16S ribosomal RNA". The record is from RNAcentral. Lineage: Bacteria; Pseudomonadati; Bacteroidota; Flavobacteriia; Flavobacteriales; Flavobacteriaceae.